Oncorhynchus tshawytscha (Chinook salmon) is the source of this 615-nucleotide long non-coding RNA. Lineage: Eukaryota; Metazoa; Chordata; Actinopteri; Salmoniformes; Salmonidae. The record is from Ensembl.
GAACUCAGCCCCAGGACCAGCUGGAUGAGAGUCCUGAGGUUUCAGUGUGUUAGUAGAACAGGUUAGUGAACUCAGCCCCAGGACCAGCUGGAUGAGAGUCCUGAGGUUUCAGUGUGUUAGUAGAACAGGUUAGUGAACUCAGCCCCAGGACCAGCUGGAUGAGAGUCCUGAGGUUUCAGUGUGUCAGUAGAACAGGUUAGUGAACUCAGCCCCAGGACCAGCUGGAUGAGAGUCCUGAGGCUUCAGUGUGUUAGUAGAACAGGUUAGUGAACUCAGCCCCAGGACCAGCUGGAUGAGGGGACUCUUUUCUUUGCUCAGCUCUUGGCAUUGCAGGGCUUGGUAAUGAUAUGACAGGGGGUCACUGUAUUUUAGAUGUUUCCAAAACUGAAUUGAGUUUUUAUUAUUAGUGGAUAUUGACCUAAUUCUGCCCUGCAUGCAUUAUUUGUAGUUUUCCUCUGGACAUGUAGGAGAAUCUAACAGAACUCUGCAUGCAGGUUUUUAAUGGGGGGGUUGUCCCAUUUGGUGAAAUAUUGUUUUGCAAGAGUACCCCACACCUCACUGGCAUAAAGUGCAAUUGGUUCAAUGACAUUCAAAUAGUUUUAGCCAAAUUUAAUA